UUUAGAGUUUGAUCCUGGCUCAGAACGAACGCUGGCGGCGCGUUUUAAGCAUGCAAGUCGAGGGGUAGGGAUUCUUCGGAGUCCUGAGACCGGCGAACGGGUGAGUAACACGUAGGUGAUCUACCGUGAGGUUGGGGAUAGCCUGUGGAAACACAGGGUAAUACCGAAUGAGCUCCACACACUGUGGUGAGUGGAGGAAAGGGGCGGAUGCCCCGCCUUGCGAUGAGCCUGCGGCUGAUUAGCUAGUUGGUAGGGUAACGGCCUACCAAGGCGACGAUCAGUAGCCGGCCUGAGAGGGUGAUCGGCCACACUGGGACUGAGAUACGGCCCAGACUCCUACGGGAGGCAGCAGCUAAGAAUCUUCCGCAAUGGACGAAAGUCUGACGGAGCGACGCCGCGUGGGUGAAGAAGGCCGUGAGGUUGUAAAGCCCUUUUCUGCUUGAGGAAUAAGCCUGGGAGGAAAUGCCUGGGUGAUGACGGAGAGCAGGAAUAAGCCCCGCA
RNAcentral lists this ribosomal RNA (501 nucleotides) under uncultured bacterium. RNAcentral's name for it is "bacterial SSU rRNA". It matches the Rfam family "Bacterial small subunit ribosomal RNA", at positions 1 to 497 of the family's 1533-position model. The record is from RNAcentral.